This 491-nucleotide ribosomal RNA is filed under the name uncultured bacterium. RNAcentral describes it as "partial 16S ribosomal RNA". It matches the Rfam family "Bacterial small subunit ribosomal RNA", at positions 29 to 506 of the family's 1533-position model. The record is from RNAcentral.
AGUGAACGCUGGCGGUAGACCUAACACAUGCAAGUCGAACGGCAGCACAGUAAGAGCUUGCUCUUACGGGUGGCGAGUGGCGGACGGGUGAGGAAUACAUCGGAAUCUACUUUUUCGUGGGGGAUAACGUAGGGAAACUUACGCUAAUACCGCAUACGACCUACGGGUGAAAGCAGGGGAUCUUCGGACCUUGCGCGAUUGAAUGAGCCGAUGUCGGAUUAGCUAGUUGGCGGGGUAAAGGCCCACCAAGGCGACGAUCCGUAGCUGGUCUGAGAGGAUGAUCAGCCACACUGGAACUGAGACACGGUCCAGACUCCUACGGGAGGCAGCAGUGGGGAAUAUUGGACAAUGGGCGCAAGCCUGAUCCAGCCAUACCGCGUGGGUGAAGAAGGCCUGCGGGUUGUAAAGCCCUUUUGUUGGGAAAGAAAAGCAGCAGGUUAAUACCCCGCUGUUCUGACGGUACCCAAAGAAUAAGCACCGGCUAACUUCGU